RNAcentral lists this ribosomal RNA (439 nucleotides) under uncultured bacterium. Its description in RNAcentral is "partial 16S ribosomal RNA". It matches the Rfam family "Bacterial small subunit ribosomal RNA", at positions 339 to 795 of the family's 1533-position model. The record is from RNAcentral.
CUACGGGGUGCACCAGUGAGGAAUAUUGCACAAUGGGGGAAACCCUGAUGCAGCAACGCCGCGUGGAGGAUGACGCAUUUCGGUGUGUAAACUCCUUUUAUGAGUCAAGAAAAUGACGGUAGCUCAUGAAUAAGCACCGGCUAACUCCGUGCCAGCAGCCGCGGUAAUACGGAGGGUGCAAGCGUUACUCGGAAUCACUGGGCGUAAAGGACGCGUAGGCGGGAUGUCAAGUCAGGUGUGAAAUCCUAUGGCUCAACCAUAGAACUGCACUUGAAACUGGCAACCUAGAGUAUGGGAGGGGGAGAUGGAAUUAGUGGUGUAGGGGUAAAAUCCGUAGAUAUCACUAGGAAUACCGAAAGCGAAGGCGACCUCCUGGAACAUUACUGACGCUAAGGCGUGAAAGCGUGGGGAGCAAACAGGAUUAGAUACCCGAGUAGUC